RNAcentral lists this ribosomal RNA (2930 nucleotides) under Escherichia coli. Its description in RNAcentral is "bacterial LSU rRNA". It matches the Rfam family "Bacterial large subunit ribosomal RNA". The record is from RNAcentral. Lineage: Bacteria; Pseudomonadati; Pseudomonadota; Gammaproteobacteria; Enterobacterales; Enterobacteriaceae.
GGGUUGUGAGGUUAAGCGACUAAGCGUACACGGUGGAUGCCCUGGCAGUCAGAGGCGAUGAAGGACGUGCUAAUCUGCGAUAAGCGUCGGUAAGGUGAUAUGAACCGUUAUAACCGGCGAUUUCCGAAUGGGGAAACCCAGUGUGAUUCGUCACACUAUCAUUAACUGAAUCCAUAGGUUAAUGAGGCGAACCGGGGGAACUGAAACAUCUAAGUACCCCGAGGAAAAGAAAUCAACCGAGAUUCCCCCAGUAGCGGCGAGCGAACGGGGAGCAGCCCAGAGCCUGAAUCAGUGUGUGUGUUAGUGGAAGCGUCUGGAAAGGCGCGCGAUACAGGGUGACAGCCCCGUACACAAAAAUGCACAUGCUGUGAGCUCGAUGAGUAGGGCGGGACACGUGGUAUCCUGUCUGAAUAUGGGGGGACCAUCCUCCAAGGCUAAAUACUCCUGACUGACCGAUAGUGAACCAGUACCGUGAGGGAAAGGCGAAAAGAACCCCGGCGAGGGGAGUGAAAAAGAACCUGAAACCGUGUACGUACAAGCAGUGGGAGCACGCUUAGGCGUGUGACUGCGUACCUUUUGUAUAAUGGGUCAGCGACUUAUAUUCUGUAGCAAGGUUAACCGAAUAGGGGAGCCGAAGGGAAACCGAGUCUUAACUGGGCGUUAAGUUGCAGGGUAUAGACCCGAAACCCGGUGAUCUAGCCAUGGGCAGGUUGAAGGUUGGGUAACACUAACUGGAGGACCGAACCGACUAAUGUUGAAAAAUUAGCGGAUGACUUGUGGCUGGGGGUGAAAGGCCAAUCAAACCGGGAGAUAGCUGGUUCUCCCCGAAAGCUAUUUAGGUAGCGCCUCGUGAAUUCAUCUCCGGGGGUAGAGCACUGUUUCGGCAAGGGGGUCAUCCCGACUUACCAACCCGAUGCAAACUGCGAAUACCGGAGAAUGUUAUCACGGGAGACACACGGCGGGUGCUAACGUCCGUCGUGAAGAGGGAAACAACCCAGACCGCCAGCUAAGGUCCCAAAGUCAUGGUUAAGUGGGAAACGAUGUGGGAAGGCCCAGACAGCCAGGAUGUUGGCUUAGAAGCAGCCAUCAUUUAAAGAAAGCGUAAUAGCUCACUGGUCGAGUCGGCCUGCGCGGAAGAUGUAACGGGGCUAAACCAUGCACCGAAGCUGCGGCAGCGACGCUGAUGCGUUGUUGGGUAGGGGAGCGUUCUGUAAGCCUGUGAAGGUGUGCUGUGAGGCAUGCUGGAGGUAUCAGAAGUGCGAAUGCUGACAUAAGUAACGAUAAAGCGGGUGAAAAGCCCGCUCGCCGGAAGACCAAGGGUUCCUGUCCAACGUUAAUCGGGGCAGGGUGAGUCGACCCCUAAGGCGAGGCCGAAAGGCGUAGUCGAUGGGAAACAGGUUAAUAUUCCUGUACUUGGUGUUACUGCGAAGGGGGGACGGAGAAGGCUAUGUUGGCCGGGCGACGGUUGUCCCGGUUUAAGCGUGUAGGCUGGUUUUCCAGGCAAAUCCGGAAAAUCAAGGCUGAGGCGUGAUGACGAGGCACUACGGUGCUGAAGCAACAAAUGCCCUGCUUCCAGGAAAAGCCUCUAAGCAUCAGGUAACAUCAAAUCGUACCCCAAACCGACACAGGUGGUCAGGUAGAGAAUACCAAGGCGCUUGAGAGAACUCGGGUGAAGGAACUAGGCAAAAUGGUGCCGUAACUUCGGGAGAAGGCACGCUGAUAUGUAGGUGAAGUCCCUCGCGGAUGGAGCUGAAAUCAGUCGAAGAUACCAGCUGGCUGCAACUGUUUAUUAAAAACACAGCACUGUGCAAACACGAAAGUGGACGUAUACGGUGUGACGCCUGCCCGGUGCCGGAAGGUUAAUUGAUGGGGUCAGCGCAAGCGAAGCUCUUGAUCGAAGCCCCGGUAAACGGCGGCCGUAACUAUAACGGUCCUAAGGUAGCGAAAUUCCUUGUCGGGUAAGUUCCGACCUGCACGAAUGGCGUAAUGAUGGCCAGGCUGUCUCCACCCGAGACUCAGUGAAAUUGAACUCGCUGUGAAGAUGCAGUGUACCCGCGGCAAGACGGAAAGACCCCGUGAACCUUUACUAUAGCUUGACACUGAACAUUGAGCCUUGAUGUGUAGGAUAGGUGGGAGGCUUAGAAGUGUGGACGCCAGUCUGCAUGGAGCCGACCUUGAAAUACCACCCUUUAAUGUUUGAUGUUCUAACGUUGACCCGUAAUCCGGGUUGCGGACAGUGUCUGGUGGGUAGUUUGACUGGGGCGGUCUCCUCCUAAAGAGUAACGGAGGAGCACGAAGGUUGGCUAAUCCUGGUCGGACAUCAGGAGGUUAGUGCAAUGGCAUAAGCCAGCUUGACUGCGAGCGUGACGGCGCGAGCAGGUGCGAAAGCAGGUCAUAGUGAUCCGGUGGUUCUGAAUGGAAGGGCCAUCGCUCAACGGAUAAAAGGUACUCCGGGGAUAACAGGCUGAUACCGCCCAAGAGUUCAUAUCGACGGCGGUGUUUGGCACCUCGAUGUCGGCUCAUCACAUCCUGGGGCUGAAGUAGGUCCCAAGGGUAUGGCUGUUCGCCAUUUAAAGUGGUACGCGAGCUGGGUUUAGAACGUCGUGAGACAGUUCGGUCCCUAUCUGCCGUGGGCGCUGGAGAACUGAGGGGGGCUGCUCCUAGUACGAGAGGACCGGAGUGGACGCAUCACUGGUGUUCGGGUUGUCAUGCCAAUGGCACUGCCCGGUAGCUAAAUGCGGAAGAGAUAAGUGCUGAAAGCAUCUAAGCACGAAACUUGCCCCGAGAUGAGUUCUCCCUGACUCCUUGAGAGUCCUGAAGGAACGUUGAAGACGACGACGUUGAUAGGCCGGGUGUGUAAGCGCAGCGAUGCGUUGAGCUAACCGGUACUAAUGAACCGUGAGGCUUAACCUUACAACGCCGAAGCUGUU